Molecule: ribosomal RNA, 253 nt
Filed under: uncultured bacterium
Lineage: Bacteria
Description: partial 16S ribosomal RNA
Rfam family: Bacterial small subunit ribosomal RNA
Source: RNAcentral
UACGUAGGCAGCGAGCGUUGUUCGGAGUUACUGGGCGUAAAGGGUGUGUAGGCGGUUGUUUAAGUUUGGGGUGAAAUCUCCCGGCUCAACUGGGAGGGUGCGCCGAAUACUGAGUGACUAGAGUGCGGGAGAGGAAAGUGGAAUUCCUGGUGUAGCGGUGAAAUGCGUAGAUAUCAGGAGGAACACCGGUGGUGUAGACGGCUUUCUGGACCGUAACUGACGCUGAGACACGAAAGCGUGGGUAGCAAACAGG